Molecule: non-coding RNA, 21 nt
Filed under: Caenorhabditis elegans
Lineage: Eukaryota; Metazoa; Nematoda; Chromadorea; Rhabditida; Rhabditidae
Source: RNAcentral
UAACGAUUUCAAUGAAAGUAC